CCCGCUGAACUUAAGCAUAUCAGUAAGCGGAGGAAAAGAAACUAACAAGGAUUCCCCUAGUAGUGGCGAACGAAGAGGGAAAAGCUCAAAUUUGGAAGCUGAAAGACAUCGUCUUUCCGCAUUGUAACCUCAAGAAACGUUUUCGGCGACGGUCCUGGUUUAAAUCCUUUGGAACAGGGUGUCAUAGAGGGUGAGAACCCCGUCUGUGACCAGGAUGCGGUUGCUGUGUGAUACGUUUUCAAAGAGUCGAGUUGUUUGGGAUUGCAGCUCAAAACGGGUGGUAAAUUCCAUCCAAAGCUAAAUAUAGGCGAGAGACCGAUAGCGAACAAGUACCGUGAGGGAAAGAUGAAAAGAACUUUGAAAAGAGAGUUAAAAGUGCGUGAAAUUGUUAAAAGGGAAGCGAUUGAAACUAGGAAUGGCAGGUAGGCAAAUCAGCCGCACGGCGCCGUGUCCACCGCGUCAAGCGAGUCGCAAGACCUCUUGCGCGGUGUACGCAGUGUCGGACGGUGCACUUUGUCCGCCAGCAAGUCGACAUUGGUUUCGACUGCCGGAAAAGCCCGGUGGGAAGGUGACGCUGUUUUCGGACAGCGUGUUAUAGCCCAUCGUGUGCCGCGGCGGUCGAGACCGAGGCGAAUGCCCUUUUGGGCUGGCAGCACGUGCCUUUUGGCUGGGCCUCUUGAUUGUGCAUGCGCGACACGCCGCCGACUCGCCCCUGGGCGAUGACGUCGGCGUGGCUCGUGCGCGCACACCAGGAUCGGUCACAUACGUGCUCCAGAUGUCGACGCAAUGGUUUUCAUUGACCCGUCUUGAAACACGG
RNAcentral lists this ribosomal RNA (817 nucleotides) under uncultured fungus. Its description in RNAcentral is "eukaryotic LSU rRNA". It matches the Rfam family "Eukaryotic large subunit ribosomal RNA", at positions 24 to 664 of the family's 3401-position model. The record is from RNAcentral. Lineage: Eukaryota; Fungi.